Molecule: non-coding RNA, 45 nt
Filed under: Schistosoma mansoni
Lineage: Eukaryota; Metazoa; Platyhelminthes; Trematoda; Strigeidida; Schistosomatidae
Source: RNAcentral
AUUCAGCUGAAGAGCACCAGAUAGGAUGAAACGCGCGUCCUGGAU